UGUUGAAGAAAAGGUUUCCUGCUUUGUUAUUGAAGGUUAUCCUGAAUCAUCAUUUCACCCUUGAAAGACAGUUUGAUCUUCCAUCAAAUAUAGCUAUAGAAAAGAUAGGGGUAGGGUCUCCCCAGUCCUUCUGUCCUACCUUUCCUCCUUUUUAUCUUUCUUUUCCCAAGAAAUAAAUUAGCUAUUUAGUAUUCCAAAGACUGUCUCUGAAGUUUGUAAUAGGAGGGAAGAUUUCAAAGUUCAUACAGAAGAAAGUUGGGAGGGGUUGACUCACUCUUGGUCAGGUCCAGACUCCAUUAAGCUAAGUGGGGAAGGAGGAAGUGGCUACACAUUAAUCAGCCCCCUCCAUCAGCUGGUUUCCUGUUCCUAGCAUUUCGAGGCCCCCUCUGUCAAUCCCACUAUUAUAUCAUAUCAGAUGGAUUUGAUUUUAAUAAGGUGCAGCAUAGUGUUGCUUUGGCUUUCCAAAGGGAUGAUGAUGUAGCACGUUUUGCAAAGAGAGCUGUGAAGACUUCAAAUAUUCCUGCUAAAUUAAUUCCAGGAUGGAAAUAAGCCACUAGAAGAACUCAAAUAUUCUGUUGAGGUCUGCAAGAAUCCGACACAACUACUAAGGCCAAAAUAGUAGAGGGAUAUGAAAUCUUCACUAUAGAUCUUCUUCAACUUGAGAAUCCUUAUAACAACAAAAAGAAAUAACACACAAUGAGCAUUACUUAUAAGAUGUAAGACAAGACCUGGAUCUGAUCUCUGCUUGAAGAGCUUACAGAAUCAAAGUCAGGGAAAGUAAUUAUCAUACAAGAAUACUAAUUGAGAAGAUGAAUCUUGGAGUCCAUAAUUGGCAUUUGGCUUGGUUUUGAAAAUAUCCUCCCUCUAUGGUCCUCCUGAAAUACUGCCUAUUGUUGUAGAGAUGAUUUUGGAGUCUCUGAAGCCUUGCUGGAGAAUUCAGAAGGGCCCCUCAGGCUAGAAAAGUUUCAGGUAUUUCAGGUCUGUAUUGGUGUUGUCUUAAGGUCAAGUCUGUUUAAAUUCAGAAGCUGAUCACUACAUUGACAGCAGGGAUUUCUCUCUCUUUUUAACCCUUAGCUUCCAUCUUAGAAUCACUACUGUGUUUUGGUUCUAAGGCAGAAGAGCAGUAAGAGCUAGGCAAUGGAGUUAAGAGGUUUGCUCAAGGUCACUCAAAUUUGAACUCAGGACCUCUUAUCUUUGGACCUGCCUUUCAAUCCACUGAGUCGUCUUGCUACUGCCCCUAGAUUUCACUUUUUGUUUUUGUUUUUGCUUUUGUUUUCUUUUUGGUCAACAGCAGCUCUCUAGGCUAUUUGUAAAUUUAUCAAGUAGGGAGUGGAGAGAGAAAUUUCAACCAGCAUCAGUCAAAAGAAUACUCUUAUCUGUAAUGCAACAUCAGAGAUUUUUGCAUUAUCCAAGUGAAGUUAGGAAAUUAAUUUUUGGGGGGCAGUUGAGUGGCUCAGUGGAUUGAGAGCCAGGCCUAGAGAUGGGAGGUCCUAGGUUCAAAUCUGGCCUCAGACUCUUCCCAGUUGUGUGACCUUGGACAAGUCACUUGACCUGCAUUACCUAGCCCUUACCACUCUUCUGCCUUGGAAUCAAUAUAUAGUAUUGAUUCCAAGAUGGAAGGUAAGGGUUUUAAAAAAAAGAAAUUAUUUUUUUGUACUCAAGAAAUUCUUAAUACAUACUUAUUACAUAUAAGCCAUUACUGUGUAUAAGGCAUGGUGUGAUGGAAUAUAGGAGGCAGCUUUGUGGUUCACCAGAUAGAGAACUGAGUCAGGAGUCAGGAAGACUUUAAUUUAAAAUAAAAGAAACAAUAAUUUCA
This 1816-nucleotide long non-coding RNA is filed under the name Monodelphis domestica (gray short-tailed opossum). RNAcentral's name for it is "lncRNA (ENSMODG00000042000.1)". Lineage: Eukaryota; Metazoa; Chordata; Mammalia; Didelphimorphia; Didelphidae. The record is from RNAcentral.